UACGUAGGGGGCAAGCGUUGUCCGGAAUCAUUGGGCGUAAAGCGCGUGUAGGCGGCUCGAUAAGUCUGCUGUGAAAGUCCAAGGCUCAACCUUGGGAUGCCGGUGGAUACUGUCGAGCUCGAGUCCGGAAGAGGAGUGUGGAAUUCCUGGUGUAGCGGUGAAAUGCGCAGAUAUCAGGAGGAACACCGGUGGCGAAGGCGGGUCUCUGGGCCUGUACUGACGCUGAGGAACGAAAGCGUGGGGAGCGAACAGG
Molecule: ribosomal RNA, 253 nt
Filed under: uncultured bacterium
Lineage: Bacteria
Description: partial 16S ribosomal RNA
Rfam family: Bacterial small subunit ribosomal RNA
Source: RNAcentral